RNAcentral lists this ribosomal RNA (253 nucleotides) under uncultured bacterium. RNAcentral's name for it is "partial 16S ribosomal RNA". It matches the Rfam family "Bacterial small subunit ribosomal RNA", at positions 524 to 776 of the family's 1533-position model. The record is from RNAcentral.
UACGUAGGGUGCAAGCGUUGUCCGGAAUUAUUGGGCGUAAAGAGCUCGUAGGCGGUUUGUCGCGUCUGCCGUGAAAUCCCGGGGCUCAACCCCGGGCGUGCAGUGGAUACGGGCUGGCUAGAGGCAGGCAGGGGAGAACGGAAUUCCCGGUGUAGCGGUGAAAUGCGCAGAUAUCGGGAGGAACACCGGUGGCGAAGGCGGUUCUCUGGGCCUUACCUGACGCUGAGGAGCGAAAGCGUGGGGAGCGAACAGG